AUUGAACGCUGUCGGCAGGCCUAACACAUGCAAGUCGAACGAGUGGCGGACGUGUGAGUAAUGUCUGGGAAACUGCCUGAUGGAGGGGGAUACCUACUGGAAACGGUAGCUAAUACCGCAUACCAUCGGAUGUGCCCAGAUGGGAUUAGCUAUUCGGUGGGGUAAAGGCUCACCUAGGCGACGAUCCCUAGCUGGUCUGAGAGGAUGCACAGCAACACUGGAACGGAGACACGGUCCAGACUCCUACGGGAGGCAGCAGUGGGGAAGAGUGCACAAUGGGCGCAAGCCUGAUGCAGCCAUGCCGCGUGUAUGAAGAAGGCCUUCGGGUUGUAAAGUACUUUCAGCGGGGAGGCGUUACCCGCAGAAGAAGCACCGGCUAACUCCGUGCCAGCAGCCGCGGUAAUUC
This 406-nucleotide ribosomal RNA is filed under the name uncultured bacterium. RNAcentral's name for it is "partial 16S ribosomal RNA". It matches the Rfam family "Bacterial small subunit ribosomal RNA", at positions 30 to 526 of the family's 1533-position model. The record is from RNAcentral.